Molecule: long non-coding RNA, 264 nt
Filed under: Mytilus galloprovincialis (Mediterranean mussel)
Lineage: Eukaryota; Metazoa; Mollusca; Bivalvia; Mytilida; Mytilidae
Source: RNAcentral
UGCUUAGCGAAGAUGGAAUGUCUACAACACAUGCUGAUUUAAGGGGGCAGAGUGCCUGUGUCCAUCUUUAUGGAGCGACAUUAAUGGGUAAUCUUGACUUUAUACGUGUUCCAUUCCCAUUUUUUCUAGUUUGGGUGCCUGUAUCUCCCCUUUUUCAAAAUCGUGGAUCUUCAUCGGCAUAAUACAAGAUAAAUACCACUAUAUUCGACUCUUGCUGAUUUGAAACUAGAACAUUACUUUUCAAUGGUAUUUGUAAACGUUGUU